UUCCACAGCAGCACAUGCCCCACCCACCCCAUCUGACCAGCAGAGCUCCGGAAGUGACCGCCUCGUUAUUGAUACUGAGGCAGAGGAGGAGGAGGAAAUGGGGGAGCCCUCAGGCCAGCCUGAUGUCACUUACGUGGACUCGGGGGAGGAGGAGCCACAGUAUA
This is a long non-coding RNA of Pseudophryne corroboree (corroboree frog), 164 nucleotides long. RefSeq lists it as uncharacterized. The transcript has 3 exons. The record is from RefSeq and is a predicted model, not a curated record. Lineage: Eukaryota; Metazoa; Chordata; Amphibia; Anura; Myobatrachidae.